UUCGGAAAUUUCGGUCUGAAAUUUUAAACACUCGCGACCCUACUGGCCGCGGCCGGAGCUAGGGUUCCUCCUCGCCGGGGGGAGGGAGGGAGGGAGAGCGGCCGGCGCCCGGGCUACCAGCGACACGCUCGUCGUCUCCCUCCUCGUCAGAGCGUGCUGGAGCUGCAUUUCACAAGAGAUCUGAACGAACCUGCAACGUUGUUUUACGGGCCAGUCUCAAGCAUCCAGAAAAUAUGCCCUUGUUCUGAUCAAUAGGUCGAAGCUGAACCUGGAAAUGACUUUUCUGCUCUGAGAGCAGAGGAUGCGAUACUUUAUGAAAGACAUUACAAAUGCUUUCAAUAGCUUUGUGAAACAUAUCCACAAAAGAAUCCCUGAAAGAAAGGGGAUGGAUAUGGAGCACACCAUUACAACCACCACCUCCCUUGAAUGAGUAAAGAUGAGAUUCAGAAUGCUCCUGAUAUAAUGGAUAUGAUAGCAGAGAUGCUGAAUUCUUUAUACCCUGGAAACAGAGAGUUGCAGAGAAUUCAUUAAUCUUGGCUUCUUGUUUUAUUUUGAGAAGAAUAACUUCACCCACUGUAUAUUUCCCUCUGCCCCUCUCAUCCUCUCAAUUCUCCUACUCUCAUGUUUUGAAGCUUGAGCUCUCCCAUGGUUGAUAAGCUCCUCGACACAUUAACAGAACAAGAACAGAUCUUGCUAGCAAGUAAACAACAAGUACAGAUACAUUGCACUAGAAGUCCUACUUACAUGCAAC
Molecule: long non-coding RNA, 751 nt
Organism: Oryza brachyantha (malo sina)
Lineage: Eukaryota; Viridiplantae; Streptophyta; Magnoliopsida; Poales; Poaceae
Exons: 5
Source: RefSeq, a predicted model, not a curated record